RNAcentral lists this long non-coding RNA (1080 nucleotides) under Gossypium barbadense (sea-island cotton). RNAcentral describes it as "long non-coding RNA (GBAR_LNC019948)". Lineage: Eukaryota; Viridiplantae; Streptophyta; Magnoliopsida; Malvales; Malvaceae. The record is from RNAcentral.
CCGGAUUGUCAUCACUGAAUUUUUGCCCGAUUAGGAUUUUGGGUCAGGUUGAUCUCGUAUGGGCCCAAUGAUUGGGCCCAUUAGGAUUUAAUUUUGAACUUGUUUUAGCCUUUUAUUUUUUUUAUUUUAUUUUUUUUAUUCUUUUAUUUUUAUUUUCUUUUUAAAUAUUAAUAAAAUAGUAGUAAAAAAAAUCUAAAAAAAGCAUAAAUUACAUUUUAGCCCCUGAUCUUUUCAAAAAUUACAUUUUGACCCCAAAAUUUUCUAUAAAUUACAUUUUGACCCCUAAAUUUUCUUUAAAUUACACUUUGACCCCUUAACUUUAAAUAAAUUACAUUGUAGCCCCAUAUUUUCCUAAAAUUUCAUUUUUGCCCCAGAAACUUUACACCCGUUACAAUUUAGUCCUUCUGGGCAUGACAAGACUGCCCCCAACCAGCAUUCUUGCGUGCCCCGCUUGCCACGCCUGCCACCCCCAAUGCAUGGCCUUCCUCCCCCUAGCCACCUGCAGACAAAGGAAUAGAAGACAAAAAAUGGUAAGAUUAAAAGAAGAAAAUGGAAGAGAAAACGGGGAUUCAACAACCAAAAAAAGGGAGCAAAAAAAUUGAAAAAAAGAACAGCAACGAAAGCUCUCAAAUUGGCCGAUCCCACACUCACCGUAACCGGACCCACGCCACCACGACCGCCGCGCCACGUCCAUCGUUGCCCUCCACCGAAGUCAACCCUAGAAACGAGCAAGCAUAAACAAAAGAAAGAAAAUCAGUAGCAAAAAAAAAAAAAACAUCAAAGAAGAAAGAAGAGAAGAAAGAAGGAGAGGAGAGGAGGAAAAGGGGAACGCCGUGACCGGUGCCACCGAACGGAGGAGUCGACGGCGGCUGUGAACGACAGGGGAGGAACGGCGGCGGGCUAGGCUUCCAAAGAGGAAGAAGAAGAAAAAUAGAAAGAAAAAGAGGAAGAAAACAGAAAAUAUAUAUAUAUAUUCUGGUGACCCGAACCGGAUCCGACCCGAACCGGAUCCGAUCCAAGCUGCAGCAGCCACCAGCAGCAGUCUAAUAGCAGACUGAUUUAGGUCCAAUAGCAGCAGGC